GAGUUUGAUCAUGGCUCAGAUUGAACGCUGGCGGCAUGCUUUACACAUGCAAGUCGGACGGCAGCACAGAGAAGCUUGCUUCUUGGGUGGCGAGUGGCGAACGGGUGAGUAACGCAUCGGAACGUACCGAGUAGUGGGGGAUAACUGUCCGAAAGGAUGGCUAAUACCGCAUACGCUUUGAGAAGGAAAGCGGGGGAUCUUCGGACCUCGCGCUAUUCGAGCGGCCGAUGUCUGAUUAGCUAGUUGGUGGGGUAAAGGCCUACCAAGGCGACGAUCAGUAGCGGGUCUGAGAGGAUGAUCCGCCACACUGGGACUGAGACACGGCCCAGACUCCUACGGGAGGCAGCAGUGGGGAAUUUUGGACAAUGGGCGCAAGCCUGAUCCAGCCAUGCCGCGUGUCUGAAGAAGGCCUUCGGGUUGUAAAGGACUUUUGUCAGGGAAGAAAAGCUUUGGGUUAAUACCCU
This 464-nucleotide ribosomal RNA is filed under the name Neisseria shayeganii. RNAcentral's name for it is "bacterial SSU rRNA". It matches the Rfam family "Bacterial small subunit ribosomal RNA", at positions 9 to 469 of the family's 1533-position model. Lineage: Bacteria; Pseudomonadati; Pseudomonadota; Betaproteobacteria; Neisseriales; Neisseriaceae. The record is from RNAcentral.